GCAAGUUUUUAUUUUAGAGAAGAGAGAAAGCAUGUCCAUGCAUACCUGAAUCAUGGGGCAGAAAGUGAAAUGUGGUGCAGAGGAAAUUCAGGCGAGGAGCCACAAAAACUGAGAGCAAAGUGACUUUGCUAAGAGGCUCUGGGAAAAAUCUCAAAGGGGAGGAGCAAAUGCCCAGACCUAGGAGACUGGGCAGAAUUUGGACACAAGGAAGUCAUUGUGGGCUGACAGUACAGGGUCCAACAGAGGCAAAGAGCUGGAAAUGCAGGGAAAGAAAGGGGAACAUCCUCCUCUUCCAGCGGAGGAAGCUGGGUGAAGAAAGGAGAAGCAUUGCGCUGGUGUGGGAAGCACGGGGCCGCUAAGGUUGAAGGCUUCUCAGCCUGGGCUGGAUCCUGGACAGACAGGCCCAGGCAGGCUGUGCACUGUGACCUGGGGCCUUGCUGUGAACAAAGAGGACUUCAAGAGGAGAUGGCCUGGAGGAGUUCGCCUUUGUGGUCAUUUUGCUUCAGUCCGUGACAACCUGGCUUCCAUCAAACCAAUCAGCCCAUCACCCAAUACUAGCUGUUCCAAAUAUAAAUUGUUGUCUUUGUCACUUUGCGUAGUCACUCUCCUCUUGAAAUAUACACAUGUUGUGAAAGGACUCUAGAAAUAAAUCUUUCCUCAUUAAAAUUUUCUACACAUGCGUUAAUUUUUCCUCCCUUUUCAACAGCGGACCAGUCAGCAAAUAAUGACUGCCCUUGGUCAUCCCUGGGAAGAUAAAGGAUUAUUAAAAGAGGGCCCGGCAGCUUGCAGAUUACACCUGCUACAUUUGGAGUGGAAAGAGGCUUCUCUGUCAGUGCCCCUUGCCCCCAUGGAAAGACACUAAUAGCAAUCUUCAACCAUAAUUGUUUGGUCCAUUUUGUUCUGGACCAAGUUUGCAUAAGUUUUAAGCCUGAAAGUCAAAGAAAAACGAAAUCUUACACGUCAACAUGGCCUUUCCAUCACUUGAAAAAGGCACCCUCUCUCUCUCUUUCUCUCUGCCUCGUAAACACAGCGGUCUUGCUCAGAGCAAUCUUGAGCUCUGAGCUGUGAAGAAUUGCUGUAGGUAGGAAGAAACGUUGGCUCUGGAAUUCAAUUAACUGUCAGCAUUGCUGUUCGAGUCAGGAUGACUCACUCCUCUUCAGCAAAUGGGCAUGGGGGCUGUGAGCCUCCAAGAUUAAUGGUGAUUGAUAAGCCGCUGGAGCUCCAGGACGAAGCCUCCCAGAAUCCUUCCCUCACCCACACACGUUUUUACAUGAAAAUAUAAUAGAUAGUGGGAGAGGAUGUGUGAGUACAGAGGAGAUGCUGUCAAGAAUUUGCCUGUAUCCUUUUCUUUUAUAUUGGUAAGUUUCACUGGAUUCUAAGCUACUGAAAAGCAGGGACUAUGUUUUAUAUUUCUUUUCUCUCAGUUCAUGUCCAAAUUAAUGCAUCAGGUGAAAAGAAAGGAUGCUGUCUGAUACCCCAUGAGGUAGGUAUGAGGCCCAUUCUAUAAAUGAGGGGAAGCAACGUGCUAAUAAGAGAAAAAGCUAGGACUCGGUCCCAGAAAGUCUGCCAAGGGUGCCAGCUCCAACCGCUGCAGGUGCCGCCUCUUCACGAGCACGUUACGCCAUUUCUCUCUUUAACACGGAAAGCAAAAUGUGGGCCUGACUGUGGUGAGGGCAUGCUUUUCCAUUCUAAAUGGCAGCUAGCAUGCAUUACAUGUACAAUAUACAACAGGAAUACAAUACGCGGGAGAGAAAACCUUCCCUCCCCUUUUCCUCAGGCACCUGGCUGGUUCAGGCUCCAGUGGCUUGGUUUUGUCGCUGGUGUUGUUAGUUUCCCCCAGCAUCCCCAUUCAUUUUCCAGAAUCCUCUGUCCCUCAUUGUAGUUUUGUAUUUGCAGAUACAAUCUAGGAAACAAUUCAGAUGGGAAAAGAAAUCUUUUCAUGAGAAAGGAUAGUAAAAUUAACAGAAAGCUGGUUAAACUUACAAUUUCCUCAAGUAUUGAGAAUAAACAUGAAUCCAUGAGAAUAAAAACUCAGUAUGGAUUUGUCCACAACGCUUAGGAGGAACAUGUUAGAAGUGCCACAUGCAGGCCAGGCGUGGUGGCUCACGCCUGUAAUCCCAGCAUUUUGGGAGGCCGAGGCAGGAGGAUCAAGAGGUCAGGAGAUCAAGAUCAUCCUGGCUAACACGGUGAAACCCUGUCUCUACUAAAAAAAAUACAAAAAAUUAGCCGGGUGUGGUGGCAUAAGCCUGUAGUCCCAGCUACUCGGGAGGCUGAGGCAGGAGAAUCGCUUGAACCCGGGAGGUGGAGCUUUCAGUGAGCCGAGACGCACCACUGCACUCCAGCCUGGGUGACAGAGCGAGACUCUGUCUCAAAAAAAAAAAAAAAGAAAAAGAAAAAGAAAGAAAAAGAAAUGCCACAUGCAUGUAAGAGUCCAGGCAGGGUGGUCAAACUGUCAGAUGCGCAACAUUCGAGGGGCAAAAAGGAUGAAAUAAGAUGCUCUCUAAACGCAUGAGCAAGACCAGCUGUCAAAGCACUGGCGCCUUUAUUCACACAUUUUGUAAACCUCAGGUAGACAGGAGACAGCAGUAAGUACGUGACCUCAGCGCGUGAUCCUCAUUCAAACUGGAAUUCGAGUAUCACUGGUCUCAGCUGCAGACAUUUCAGAGUGGGUCCAUUUGCUCUUAGGAACUUCCAGGGCACCCCAGCACCACUUGUUUUUGCCUUUGUCUUUGCUUUCCUUCCCCACAUCCCUACAAAACCAAACAGACUUGCUCUCCCAGCUUCACAAAGAGAAACGGAUUCCAAGAGGAAAUCACUUCACAGCAAGUGAGCCCUGGGAAGAAUUAAAGACUGAGGAGCCCUUGUAAUGAGAUUAAGGGAAAAAUGCUUUUGUGCAUCCAACUCAGACCCGUCCUCAGUAUGCAGGACGCGAGUGGUGCCAAAACAAACAUGGGUAUUGUUUUGGGAAGGAAAAGGUUAACAAGCUAUGAAAACAAAAUUAGAGAUAUUUUCAAAGCAUGACCCUCAGCAGAAUGAGUAGAAUGCAGUCUACCCAGGCAGCAGCAUUCCCUCCUCACUUGACAUUUAUCCUGCA
Molecule: long non-coding RNA, 3094 nt
Filed under: Homo sapiens (human)
Lineage: Eukaryota; Metazoa; Chordata; Mammalia; Primates; Hominidae
Description: HSALNT0024282
Source: RNAcentral